Molecule: ribosomal RNA, 447 nt
Filed under: Phocaeicola coprocola
Lineage: Bacteria; Pseudomonadati; Bacteroidota; Bacteroidia; Bacteroidales; Bacteroidaceae
Description: bacterial SSU rRNA
Rfam family: Bacterial small subunit ribosomal RNA
Source: RNAcentral
GUCGAGGGGCAGCAUGAACUUAGCUUGCUAAGUUUGAUGGCGACCGGCGCACGGGUGAGUAACACGUAUCCAACCUUCCGUUUACUCAGGGAUAGCCUUUCGAAAGAAAGAUUAAUACCUGAUAGUAUGGUGAGAUUGCAUGAUAGCACCAUUAAAGAUUUAUUGGUAAACGAUGGGGAUGCGUUCCAUUAGGUAGUAGGCGGGGUAACGGCCCACCUAGCCGACGAUGGAUAGGGGUUCUGAGAGGAAGGUCCCCCACAUUGGAACUGAGACACGGUCCAAACUCCUACGGGAGGCAGCAGUGAGGAAUAUUGGUCAAUGGGCGAGAGCCUGAACCAGCCAAGUAGCGUGAAGGAUGAAGGUCCUACGGAUUGUAAACUUCUUUUAUACGGGAAUAAAGUAUCCUACGUGUAGGAUUUUGUAUGUACCGUAUGAAUAAGCAUCGGC